GAAUCUCCCAAAGCCGGGCUUUGACUGAGGUCCAGGAGGUGGGAGCGGAGCCGGUUCCGGUUGUGAAAGAUUCUGGUCACCGAGUUUAAUCCGGAGGCAUCGGCCCUUCCUGAGGGAUAUAAAAGCUGCUCCUCGGGGGAGCUCCACACCCGCAGCGGCUCCUCCUGAGCUCCCUCCUCCAGCAGGACGCUCCAGGACCCAUCCCAGGAUGUCCCAGCAGCAGAAGCAGCCGCAGCAGAUCCCGGCCCAGUGCCAGCAGAAGUGUGGGGCCCUUCCCAAGGGGGUCCAGCAAAGCCAGGCCUCCAAAGGCCAGGCCCAGGCGGCCGUGAAGAGCCUCCCCCAGCAGCAGCAGCAGCAGCAGCAGUGCUCCAAGCAGAAGUAGGAGCCAUCCAAAUCCCAAAUCCUGCUUUUCCCACCUCUCCUGGCUCCCGGGAACGCCUCCAGACCUGCAGCCAGCUGCUUCGCUUGCCAGAAGUUACCUCAUGACGAGAUGCGCUUAAUUAGGUUUCAAAAAUGAUAAAUGGACGGCGGGGCUGGUUUUAAUUCCGAGUUUAAUUUGGGAUGUGGUGCAAUAAAAUGAUGGAAUGAC
Long non-coding RNA from Haemorhous mexicanus (house finch), 589 nucleotides. RefSeq lists it as uncharacterized. Lineage: Eukaryota; Metazoa; Chordata; Aves; Passeriformes; Fringillidae. The transcript has 2 exons. The record is from RefSeq and is a predicted model, not a curated record.